Molecule: ribosomal RNA, 503 nt
Filed under: uncultured bacterium
Lineage: Bacteria
Description: partial 16S ribosomal RNA
Rfam family: Bacterial small subunit ribosomal RNA
Source: RNAcentral
GAUGAACGCUAGCGAUAGGCCUAACACAUGCAAGUCGAGGGGCAGCAUAGAGUAGCAAUACUUUGAUGGCGACCGGCGCACGGGUGAGUAACACGUAUGCAACCUACCUACAUCAGGGGAAUAACCCGGAGAAAUUCGGACUAAUACCGCAUCAUAUAGGCAUGCCGCAUGGCAAUAUUUGUUCAUGAUUUAUUGGAAGUAGAUGGGCAUGCGUUCCAUUAGCUAGUUGGUGAGGUAACGGCUAACCAAGGCAACGAUGGAUAGGGGAACUGAGAGGUUUGUCCCCCACACUGGAACUGAGACACGGACCAGACUCCUACGGGAGGCAGCAGUGAGGAAUAUUGGUCAAUGGACGAGAGUCUGAACCAGCCAAAUCGCGUGAAGGAAGACUGCCCUACGGGUUGUAAACUUCUUUUGUACAGGAAUAAAAGACAUUACGUGUAAUGUAUUGCAUGUACUGUACGAAUAAGCAUCGGCUAACUCCGUGCCAGCCGCCGCCGUAA